This 388-nucleotide ribosomal RNA is filed under the name Prasinoderma sp. RNAcentral describes it as "partial small subunit ribosomal RNA". It matches the Rfam family "Eukaryotic small subunit ribosomal RNA", at positions 582 to 975 of the family's 1831-position model. The record is from RNAcentral. Lineage: Eukaryota; Viridiplantae; Prasinodermophyta; Prasinodermophyceae; Prasinodermales; Prasinodermaceae.
AUUCCAGCUCCAAUAGCGUAUAUUUAAGUUGUUGCAGUUAAAAAGCUCGUAGUUGGAUUUUGGGUCGGGGGCACCGGUCCGCCGUUCCGGUGUGCACUGGUGGCCCCUUCCUUUCUGCCGGGGACGUGCGUCGCACUUAAUUGGGUGGCGUUCGGAGUCGGCGUUGUUACUUUGAAAAAAUUAGAGUGUUCAAAGCAAGCCAUCGCUCUGAAUACAUUAGCAUGGAAUAACAUGAUAGGACUCCGGUCUUAUUUUGUUGGUUUCCGAGACUGGAGUAAUGAUUAAGAGGGACAGUCGGGGGCAUCCGUAUUUCAUUGUCAGAGGUGAAAUUCUUGGAUCUAUGAAAGACGAGCUUCUGCGAAAGCAUUUGCCAAGGAUGUUUUCAUCA